Molecule: long non-coding RNA, 844 nt
Filed under: Nicotiana tabacum (common tobacco)
Lineage: Eukaryota; Viridiplantae; Streptophyta; Magnoliopsida; Solanales; Solanaceae
Description: long non-coding RNA (NTAB_LNC009016)
Source: RNAcentral
GGUUCCAUCUUUUCCCGGUUGAGACAUAACUUAUUUGUCACGACCCAAAUUGAUGGGCCGCGAUAGGCACCCGGUACCUUACUCAACCGAAUACCAACGUAACGCGUCUUUCUUAUUACAUCAUUAUAUACAUGUGACAUACGGGCCUAAUAGGCCAACAUAAUCAUUUAUAAAAUCAAAACAUAGGCCGACAAGGCCGUACAAUCUUUCACGUACACGACAUAUGUCUACAAGCCUCUAAGAAUACAUAAAUAUCAUAAAGAUCGAGACAGAGUGCUGCCAUACCAAACAAUAUACGUCUAACUCAUACUAACCAAACAAGCAACUCCAAAGCAAAUGGAGUGCACCAACAUCUUCCGCUGAGCUGAUAGCCUACAUGGAGGGCUCUCGACCUGUCUAUUGGGACCUGCGGGCAUGAAACGCAGUGUCCCAAGCAAAAGGGACGUCAGUACAAAUAAUGUACUGAGUAUGUAAGGCACAUAAAUAAAUACAUAAAAGACAUGGAAGACAUAUAUAGUACAUGACUCAACCUGUAAGUCUGAAUAACUUUGUAAAUCAUAAAUUACUCUUAGCGUCAUGCUUAUGCGUAUGAAUGUCAUGUCGUGCAUAGGUACAUAUUUCAUAACAUCAUCAGCCUCUGAUGGCAUCCCAUCAUAUCAUAUCGGCCACUGCAGGUAAAAUCAUUAUAGUAUACCAGCUGAUCAGGUGGUGGUGCGUAUAUAAUGCCAUAACUUUUCCCAUAUCCCAUAUAUAUAUAUACACGCAUAUAUAAUGCCGUUUGAAUCAUAUUUACAUAUAUACGCGUAUAUAACGCCGUUUUAAUCAUAUUUCAGCCACUGUGGGC